This 465-nucleotide ribosomal RNA is filed under the name uncultured bacterium. RNAcentral describes it as "partial 16S ribosomal RNA". It matches the Rfam family "Bacterial small subunit ribosomal RNA", at positions 338 to 795 of the family's 1533-position model. The record is from RNAcentral.
CCUACGGGUGGCAGCAGUGAGGAAUAUUGCGCAAUGGGCGAAAGCCUGACGCAGCCACGCCGCGUGAGGGAUGAAGGCCUUCGGAUCGUAAACCUCUGUCAGCAGGGAGGAACGGUCACUGUGCUAAUCAGCAGUGAAUUGACGUUACCUGCAGAGGAAGCACCGGCUAACUCCGUGCCAUCAGCCGCGGUAAUACGGAGGGUGCGAGCGUUAAUCGGAAUUACUGGGCGUAAAGCGCUCGUAGGCGGUAUGUCAAGUCAAGGGUGAAAUCCCCGGGCUCAACGUGGGAACUGCAUUUGAAACUGGCAAGCUAGAGUGUGUGAGAGGAUGGUGGAAUUCCAGGUGUAGGAGUGAAAUCCGUAGAUAUCUGGAGGAACAUCAGUGGCGAAGGCGACUACCUGGCAAAUAACUGACGCUGAGGAGCGAAAGCGUGGGUAGCAAACAGGAUUAGAUACCCUUGUAGUC